GAGUCUACAGGUACUUGGUUUAUUACUAAUUUACUAAGAUUUAGUUCAAUUCUAAAUUAGGCUUG
Molecule: transfer RNA, 65 nt
Filed under: Moniliformis sp. XH-2020
Lineage: Eukaryota; Metazoa; Acanthocephala; Archiacanthocephala; Moniliformida; Moniliformidae
Description: tRNA-Ser
Source: RNAcentral